Molecule: long non-coding RNA, 6341 nt
Organism: Oncorhynchus gorbuscha (pink salmon)
Lineage: Eukaryota; Metazoa; Chordata; Actinopteri; Salmoniformes; Salmonidae
Exons: 7
Source: RefSeq, a predicted model, not a curated record
GAAAGAAAUGCAAGGAUGUUCUCCAGUUGCAAUCCAACAUAGCUAGCUAAUUUAUAUGAAAUUAUAUUUUGGAGAAGGAAGGUAGACCGCUAACUGAAUAGGUGAGUUUUUCAAUUGGGAUCAAUGGCUCUACCAACCCUCUCUGCCCACAUUGGCCGAGUCGAGUUCGUUCUCUGGAAAGCCAGAUGGUGCGGCAUGCGGCAGGGGGAACAGGAGGCACGUUGGCGGCAACACUGGGUGCUGCACUCAAUGCACUAAAGGCAACAACAGAACAUUGAGGCGGACUGCAGACUCCUGCCAGACCUGUUGUAGUAGGAGCAAGGCGGAGGGCGGUGGCGGACACCGCCUGGAAGAAGCAUGUCAUCGAGGAAUAGCUGCAGUUGGAGAGGCGGUGGGAGGCUGUUUGCUGUCCUGUACAGGGAGAAGUCCCGGCGUGUUUGGGAGAAGUGGGAGGCAGAGUAGGAGAGGAGAGCCAGGGAGAGGCUCAUUCAGGAGGCUCUUGCAGAUGGAGCUCAAGAUGCAGGAGAACCGUCAGGCUCAGGAUGAGUCUCUGAGGAGGCGGGGGGAGGGCUGAUCCAGGAGCCGGCGAGGCAGACCAGACGCCGAGAGGGUGUAGUAAGACGGCCAAAGGACGCGAACAGGAACAGCCUGUGUUGACUGGGGUGUCACAGGUGAAGGAGAGGGAUUCCCUAAGGCUGCAGGAGGAUGAGCAGAGGCUGGAGACUCAUAGGAUGGCCCAGCAGAGCUACCAGGACAAGAAGUUAAAGGAUGAGAACAAUACAUGAACAAAACGGAGACGUUACAAAGGGAUCUAAAAGCCCUGCGACGGUGGUCCUGAUGGUCAGUUGCUGUUCUCCUUGGUGGUGAUGGUGACAAGCUGCUUGGCAGCUUUGGCAAUGUCAUAGGCACACUGGAUAACCUGCUGGGUGACCAGCUGCAUGUCGGGCCCUGGGCCUUCCUCGGGGGGCGCCGCCUUCCGACACUCACCCUGGAGCCGAAAGGAGCUAGACGUCAACAGGCGCAGGGGGCCUCUCACCAUCUCCGAAUGGGGUCUCUGGAAAGAACAAAGUAAGGUGAGAUUAGGUUAAACACAUGCGACUAUGAGCUGGGUUGUGUUCAUUAGGCAUCAAACGGAGAAAGUUUCUUUAUGUUGCAAAACAUUUUUAAAUACCUUUGCAUUUGAGUGAUGGAACCAUGGAGCAUUUGUAAGCUUACCUUGGGAAAGAGGGCAGCCAUCUCGGUUACGGCCACAUAUAUUCUUUCGGAGCAGGGUAUAAAGCUGUAAAAGAAAAGGCAUCAGGAGAGUGGUUAAUAAGACCGCCUCUUAACGGAAUUAUUUCAUGGAGGAAAUCCAAAAUUUGGGAUUAAAAAGUUACCUUUUUGCGAUCCCAAAACAACACUAUUCAAAACAAGUCACAAGUUAACUUUUUAGUCUGGGUGAGGAGGGGAGGCAAAACACAACACUGGCAGAGCUACAUGCUGGAAAACAAACCCGCAGUCCCAGGUUAGUGCUUGGUUAAUCUAUUUUACUAUUCCAAAUAUUAUAGUCAGACAGCAGCUACCAUAAUUCAUGUAGCCUGGAUGCCAAUCUGUUUCUGCACUAUGGAGUAGGCAAGAGAGCAGAGGUAGUGGCAACCAAGCUACUGUAUAAUUCACGGUUAAAUGAUGGGAGUGAGGGAUUAGAGCUGAUCAUGUGAUAAACUAUCAGCUACACCAAAACAAAAUAUGUAUUUUUUUAAAUUGCUCAUUUGGAUAUUAGACAACAGGGCACAAUUCCUUAACCUAAACGCAUACAUAAAUUAUCUAGAAUUGAUAAGACUGCUUGUAAAUCAUUAUGCACUUGGUGAUGGACUACUAUGGAUGCAACUAGCUCCAGCUCUACUCUAAAACACACGGAAUACCACACAUGGGUACCUUGAAUAUCAAAAGCCCUUUGAUGGGUUGUCUGAGUUUAGUUGAGGUAGUGGUGUUUGCGCCGAUGUUUUGCAACGGAAGAAAUUAAGAGAGUAGGUGAGUGAGAGUUCAUUAAGAUCAGUCUUUCACUCUGCCUAGCAGAUGACAACACCAUAGCAAAGGAGGAAAUCAUCGGAAUUGGGCAACAGAGCAGGGGCAGGAGAGAGAGAGAGAGAGAGAAGACACUGUGCCUGGGAGGCAGGGACAGAGGCUGGUAGAGUACCGGGAGGCAGGAUCGGGGGAGCACAGGCUGAGGGGCUGCACGGGAGAGUGGGCCUUCUCAGCCCAGGGCACCAGGGUGCUGAAACAGCCCAGACUGUGCCUGAGCCGGCGCACACCCUCACAAGGUCUGCUUACAGGAAUGGUAAAGGCACGGGGAGACACCCCCACCCCCGAAAGAACGAAAUGCCAGCACGAGGAGGGAGGAGGGGAGAACACAGAAAGUGAAAGAGGUGAAAUCAUAGGGAAGAUUAUAUUUUUAAAAAUUCAAAAACUGAACCGAGAAGAAUGCAGAACUUUAAUAAACAGUAACAGUGGGGGAACUCGAGAAGAAUCUAGAAAGUGGAAGUACUAUGAAUACAAAAAAGGGAAAAAGUGACGCUGCAAUAAUGAAUUUGGUUAAGCAAAAGUGGGGUAGCUAUCUGGAACUUUUCAGGAAACACAGAAAAAGCCUUGUUUUAUCUCCAUUGAACUCUGUUGUAACUGUCUCUGUUAAAUUCGGCUUAAUUGUUUGAGCUUGUGGCCUGUCACUUCUUCCUCACCUGUCGUGCUUGUUCUCCUGCGCGGCACGGAGCAGCUCCUGGAUGUUCUUGGUGAUCUGCUCCGUCUUACGGAUGACAUCCUCAGUGCUGGGGAGCGCUGGGUCCGGUUCUGCCCCCAGGUCAUCCAGCUCAGGGAUGGAGCUGCCCUCCCCCAGCCAGCCACUGCUCCUCAGCCUCCCACGUCUACUAGGGGGUAGACAGGAUCAUCCAGGAUGUUACGACAAUCUCUGCACCCUACAUCCAGCCCUACUUGUCCACCUGAUGUGCAACACAGAAAUCAGUGGCAACUUCAAAGUGACAGUGUGUGUGUGUGUUCCUACCCAGAGUCCUUCAUCUCAUAGUCAUUGGUUGUGUUGUCAUAGUCACUGUCUGGCAUGCUGCUCUGCUUGUCCAGCUUGGAGGCCUAACAUGAGGGAGAGAAAACGAGAGUAACAAAAAUGUGUCACAGUGACAAAUGCCACUGAUAAUGCAAGCAGAAAGAGGAUAUAGAAUUAUAGAUACAAUCACAAUUUCAAUGUAUCAUACUCACAACAUACAAAAUAGUUUCUAGCAGUGUAGCGCAAACCAUAGCAUUUUAUUCUAGGCCUAAAACGUAAAUAGUAGCUGACAUAAAUUUGACUUUGAAACAGUUUUACUAACAACUUGCAUCGUUGUAUGGCAGGGGCAAAUUAAAUGAACUAAAACCAUGGGAAAGCAACAAGGAGAACGACAAUGCAUUAAACAAGUCAACAAACAAAAGCAUGUAAGCACGACAGAAAAUCAUAGUAAAGCCUUUUAAAUUUCAUUGCCAGGGUUAGUAAAAAGAGGUUAUCCGGGGGUUCAAAACAUGUUUGUUUUUUACCCUCACACAAUUGGAAAAAAUAGCAAGUUCAAUGUCUAUAAGCUAUUGUGACAUAAACCACACUGGACAAAUGGAAUGGCUGAUUGAUUGGUACCAUGGCAAGUGGAGAUGCUAGGCUGGUUCAAUGUCUAUAAAAACCUUUGAACUCCUGCGUGUAAAAGAUGGAGACUUAUAGACGAUAUUAAUUAAACCAUGGCGAUGAAUCAAGGGCCAAAUGCAUAGUCCAGGAAAAGCUUCAAACACUGCUGUGCUGGCUGCACCCCCUUUUUAAAGGCAUAUGCCAAGACAGAUGAGGUCAGGGAUGUUUGAGGAGAGAGAAAUCACUGGAUAGCUAUCACACAGAAAGAAACAACCGCUUCGGAAUUACAUCAGAACCAUGAUCCAUUCCAGCUCUCUGAUCCAAGACUUUCAUUAAGAGUCAUAAUAACUUUCAUGUUAUGGAAUCAAGGUUCCGAUGAAUUCGGGUCAAAAGUCAAGAGGGGAAAAAAAGCACUGUGACCAUCUAAAGUUGGCUGUACUCAAUACGCAAUACUGUGUGGUGCUCCACCCAGCCUGUAAGCAUUUGUGCUGCGUCACGAGACUGGUGGACAAUAUUGCUUGAGCUGUACUCGAAUAUCAGAUAGGAAGGUUUGGGUGCACAGCACUGACCCCGCACUGUCACAUCCGCGCAGAUCCCGCCCUCUUUCUGCACAGAAGAGAAACUAUGUAGAGGAGGUGCGUUUUCAAAGAAAGGAGCAGAGACAAACACCAAGAGGGACACAGGCCACAUACCGUACAGUUACAUACCCUUUCCAGCCUAGCCCAAAAGACCCGCUCAAACAACAUCCUCUUCCUGUCUGCAGGGCAAGAUGCCAAGACCCGCACAAACACACACUACAGCAAACUGCCGAAAGUGGGAUUAGCUCAUACAGGUGUUUUGUUGAUUUCUCUCCCACUGGGCUUGCAGUUCUGCGCAUUUCAGUCAAAGGCCCAGUCCAGAAACAACCUCUAGCCCUUACCCCCUAGACACUUGUGGAGAUCUAAGGAGAUUUGAUAGGUUUGAGCAAUAUGGUGAUAGCUCCACCUUGCCCUCUGAUAGGUUCAGUGGAAUUGUUUUCAUAUUGCUUUAAAUCUACUAAAUCCUCUCAGAUCUUCGACAAGAUCUCAGCAAGUGUCUAGGGGGCAGGGGCUGUUUGCUUCUGGAAAGGUCCACAGUCUCAGUGAGGAACAGACUCUUGGAUAACAGGAGAGUUUGGGUGUUACUAGAAGGGAGGGAGGGAGUGCGUGCUGGAUGAAGCUCACUGGGCGACAGCCGUGUGCUGAUUAGAGAUGGAGAAAAGAGGUCAUCAAUUUUUUGGAAAUAUAGCAAAAUGUUGGCUCUGGAGGUGGAAGGAGCCCAAGGAUUUUUUUUUUUUUGGUUAAAAUUUACAGCAUGAGGAAUGUAAGAAAGAAAUCUCAAUAGGCUGAGCGCUUAACCUGGCAGCUGGUCUCAAAGAGGGUUGGCAAACAUUGAGAUGGGUGUGUGAUCUUGACGCAUAGUGCUGCUACAUUGAAAACCUUCUAGCUGAUUGUAACAGGUGCGAGGAUGAGGACAGUGAUGGUGAUGAAGGGAAGGCAGCCCAUGGGGUGGUAGUUUGGCUCAUGCAGCAGGACAGGUAGGGAGGGAGGACAGGGGCUUCCCCAGUAGAUUUGCUGCGUCCCCGAGAGGCACGGACCAAGCGAGGGGGUACUUAACCCGUAGAGCAAUUUUGUCCCGAGACCAGGACAGGGUGGAUGGGAAGGAGGGGAGGGAUGAAGAGGUCACAAAAGCACCCCUUCCUGUCUAGAAAGGGGUUCAAAUUAUGUUUGUUUUUUUAAACUAGUUAGUGCUCUCAGGAACAAAGUCUUGUUUAAACCACAUCAUGCAAAUAACAGGGUUUGGGAGCACUAAAAUAAAAAUAAUUAUUCAAGAAAACAAAACCAUAGUAAGAAUGAAGAACAGCAUAAAUUGUGAUUAUGACAAGGAAUUACACUUAAAUAACUGCAUUUCAAUUCCUUGCUGGAUCUGAGCAUACUGUACCUCAAAUCCCAUACAUUGAACAUUAUAAAACAUCUAGACAAUGAACAUGUUUUAUUAUUUGAUAUCUCAAAGUACACGUUUGUUUCCUGGACAUUGAAAGGGGCAAUCCGGGAUUCGAACAGCAACAAAGCGUCACCCCCCACCGGUUUUGGUGAACAGCUGAGGGAAUGGGUCCCAGAGCGACUUACAAAUUGGUGCAUUCACCUUAAUGGACAAAGCCGUUACUGGCUAGGUUAUUAACGCUUUAGGUUUGCUAAUUUAGCUAACGUAGAUUCAAAAUACGUGACGUUUCAUGACAUUAUCAAAACAUUAUCAAGUCGUAGCAAACGUUAGCUAGCGUAAAAUUCGCAUUUGUAUUUACAGAGAUACUGUUGAAUAACAUUGCUUACCGGUCUACGUUUCUUCUCCAAAAUAUAAUUUCAUAUAAAUUAGCUAGCUAUGUUGGAUUGCAACUGGAGAACAUGCAAACCAUCAAAUUCACAGAGCUUCAGAUGAAAGGACAGACGAUCCAUGAGAUUGCAGGGUAAAGCUAACUUCUUUUUUUAAAGUUAUAGACUAUUGUUUACAAUUACAUUGUUAACAAACAAUGGCGUGAAACAAUCUUGCACUUUGAGUUCUGACGGUGUAGAACAAAUAGAUGUGCCAAUCCCGAAUUGCUCCUCUUAAAUACUGUACCAGAACUAAGCGAUUCGUGACAAUUAGAAAAACACUCAAUUCCCGUGCAUGUUUAAUUAAAAGAGAAAUGACA